This 2137-nucleotide long non-coding RNA is filed under the name Homo sapiens (human). RNAcentral's name for it is "HSALNT0369377". Lineage: Eukaryota; Metazoa; Chordata; Mammalia; Primates; Hominidae. The record is from RNAcentral.
ACCAUAAAAGUGGCUUAUAAUGCAAAUUUUAGUUUUGGGUUUAUUUCCUUUAUAUCUUGUAGAUACCCAAAGUAUGCCCUACGUCUUCUUGAAAUCCUAACAUUUUCAAGGGCAGGACUUUGUCCUUUUCAUAGGGAAUCUGAGAUCGCAAUAUGGUGAAACUAUGAAGCAAUAUGUCCUCAGUGACCCUUUCACGAAGUGUUUGAAGUUCUCUCCGUUUGUUACUAUGUGGUCCUCAUUUAGUUAUCACAUGCCCCAACACCAUUAUUUUCUAAAUGCUUCACUCUACAGGGAUUUUCCUGCUUCUCAUCAAAAUUUGGUUUUAUAGACACAAAUUAUUGAAUCUUCAGAAGGAAGAGGGAGGAAAGUUGCCUUUGUCCCUAACAGUUUUGGUGAGCCCAGGCAGGAGAACAAGUCACUCUGCUCAGUUUAGAGGCUGUAAAUGGGACCCUGGGACAACUAACAAAAAAGCCAGCCAAGAAAGCUAUCUACAGUUUACGGGAAUAUGGGAAGGUGUACUUUUGUGUGCAGAAUUGAAAUUUUUUUUUCUCCCUACCUGAUCCCUCCAGAGUUUGGAGACUAUUUGUGAGAAAAAAUGUCACUUCCUGAGAGGCCCUGGAACCUGAAUAUAUUUUUGGGAACCUUGAGAAGAGAAGUAUUCACUCAAGUUUAAAGGUAUUACAGGCACAAUUUGAGGGUGACUCCUCCUUGGAUUGGCUUCCCAGCCUCAAGAGGCUUUCAAAAGUUUAAUCUGAGAUUCCUUGUGAAAAGUUCCAGCAAAGCAAAAUUGAAAAUGAGCUUAUAUGAUUAAUCAUCAUUUUGCUGUACUUCUGUAAAUUAUUAGGCAAAGUAUAACAAGCCUAAAACUUAUUUUGCAAACAAAUUAGUUUUAUUGUGAUUAACUUUGGUAAAAAGGGGGGAACUCGAGAGAGAAAAAUUAUGACUUAAAAGAAAACUACAGUGUAUCUGUUAUUAGAUUCUAGCUCUGUUCAUUUUUUUGAGAUUUUAUUAUUUACCUACAAUUUAGACUGGAUUCUGAAAUUGUUAGUUUCCUCUAAUGUCUGACUGCAACUCUCCAAAAUAACAUUUUCACUUUUUUCUCCAAUUUUUUUCUGACUUGGAAUCACUGAAAUUAAAUGUGCCUUUUUCUUGAAGCCCUGAAAGCUGAAGCUGGUUGACUCCAGAUAAAUCACAAUAACAACUUAAAAUCUGUCAGAUUGUCACUGUCUAUCCACACUUCAACUGAAGAUGUUUUGAGGCCAAAUCUAGAAAUCUUUUCAACUGCUAGACUCAGAACUAGUUUAUAUGCUGCUUCAAUUAUUAACUUUUGUCUUUCUUUUGUUUCUUUAGAGAAGCCUCAUAUUAAAAACUUGUUUGCUUACACCAUGUAGAGACUUAACUGUGGGAACCCUGCAACACCACUUCCUAAAAUGAGACAUUUUUCUACUUAUUCCAAUAUAUGUUUUUCUUCCCUUUGCUAAUGUCUUAUCUCAAAAUGUCUAAAGCAAAUUUUCCACAGUUAUCAAUCCUAUUUUAAUAUGUAAAACUUUCUGAAAAUAAAUUUCAAAGAGGGGACUGUGGGAAACCAAAAUAUGCCAUCCAAAGCGUGCCUCUUUGGCAUAUUUUGAGAUGGCUAUUCAGAGGGUCUGCAGACACAAAGCAUGGCUCUGAAAAUUUAUCCUUUUGUAAAAUAAAUUUACAUGUAUAUAUUAAUAAAGCAAACAAGGGAUGCAGGCAGACGGUUUCUCUGAGGUCCUUUUAUUUGAAUCUAGGAAAGAUUAACUCACAGGAAAAGAAGACUAAAGACAGGUUUGACACUUUUAAAGGUCUGACAGAGAAACUAUUACCACAGGUUACCAUCUACUCUUUUUGAGGGCUAUUACCUGAUAGACCUUCUCUGCACAAUGAAACAACAGCCUUUGUUCACAGUGCAUUCUUCCCCUUACCCUUCCAUAACCUGUCACCACAGCCUCCAGGAGCUUCAGGCCUCUUUUUCUUUCUGUAUCAUAUAAAAACCUUAGGCCCUUCUUUGAGUCCUGUAUUUUGUGUAGCUCCCUGUGCACGUGCAUGUAAUAAAUUUGUAUGCUUUUUCCUGUGAAUCUGUCUGUUUGGUUUAUAGGCUCAAAUUAUCUAACCU